Molecule: long non-coding RNA, 764 nt
Organism: Nicotiana tabacum (common tobacco)
Lineage: Eukaryota; Viridiplantae; Streptophyta; Magnoliopsida; Solanales; Solanaceae
Source: RefSeq, a predicted model, not a curated record
CCAUUUUCUAUCGAGCCUUUCUUCUCCCUCAGAAAGAAAUAACCUAGGGUUUCUUAUCAGUCGCUAUUUUCAGCUCCAUUGAAAGGCCUUCUCUCCCAUUUCCUUUCUUCUUCGCUUAACAUAUAUUGGGUUGUGAAGAUUUUCCACCAUAGCAAGUUUUCUCAUGUCAGAAAGUAGUUAUUUAUCAAAGAGGAGGUGCCAUUGUGGGGAAAUUGCCAAUCACUUCACUUCAACGACUCCAUUUAAUCUCGGAAGGAGAUUCUUUAAGUGCCCUAAACCUGAUAUAAGCUUGUGCGGUUAUUGGGAAUGGCAAGAUGAUGUGUUACCAGAUCGAGCGGUCAUUACAAUUAACAAUAUGAAUUACAAAUAGGAUGCCGCUAAUGUUAAACUCAACAAUAUGAAGUCGACGUUGGAUGCGAUUAUUCUUGAAAGGGACAGAUUAAAGGAAAGAGUAGAUAACUUGAAGGCUUUAAAGAAUUCGGAAGCGAACAAAGCCCGUAAAUUGGAAGAGAAAGUCCUAAAUAUGAAGAUCGUCAUUAUGAUUUCAUGGGCAAUAUUUAUGGGAUUUGUUGCUGCAAUGCUAAUGAAGUGAAGUUGAUAUAUAAAGUGCAACUUUUCAUGUUUUUGUAUUGGUACUUAAAGUUGUAAACAAUGAAGUGUUUUAGGUCUGAUAUUGACCCUUAACCGUUAGGUAAAUAUGUAAUUGGUAAGAAAACUGUUUGUCUGAGAUUUCAACUCAAAGGAACAUUUGAAAUAGCCUACUA